This 3349-nucleotide ribosomal RNA is filed under the name Triticum aestivum (bread wheat). RNAcentral describes it as "partial small subunit ribosomal RNA". Lineage: Eukaryota; Viridiplantae; Streptophyta; Magnoliopsida; Poales; Poaceae. The record is from RNAcentral.
GUGCUGAUCACCGUAUUCGGCGGCAGAAAAGCACGCGGUGCAGAUGGCGGAGCGCAUCAGCGAGGCAAGUUGCAGCAAGGUCAGAAUGAUCUGCAGCUGGCGAGCUAAUGGAAAAACGGCCAUGGAAUCACGCACGGCAUAUCAAACGGACACGCGAGAUGCUAGUCAGAAGGGCGCUAUUCUGAAGGUUGGUCAACCAUAUGAUACAAUUUCAUCACGGCCAUGUGUAUCACAAUUUAAAAAACCUGCCUCCCAUCCGCGAGGUCCUCCAUGUUUUUCUUCUUCUUCUUCUUCUUCUUCUUCUUCUUCUUUCUUUGCGGCACCGACGCCCCCCCAUGUCUGUGCACCCCUGUCCCCAGCUUGCGUUUUCCAGGUUAAUUUAAUGUCGUUUUCCGUUGAAUUCUUUGGCGAUUCUUUGCUUGCCAUGCCGGGAGACAGCAAAAAGAUGAGGGUGCGAGUCAUUGUAUAUCCAGGCAGAGAUUCAAAGUUCCCAGUUAUUAUCUUCUCCAAGAUGAUCUCGGGGAAAUAAUGCAGAAUCACAGAGUUGCCGUGGGCACGAUGGUUCAUAGUUGACGAAAAAGAGUUUCUCUCCGCUUUAUAUUAAUAUAUACUAAAGCAACUCGAUGGUUCAUAGUUAAACUUAAUUAAGCGUGAUUCGGAACGAGCAAUCGAUCCACUAGUAGACUUUUAUUUUAUUUACGUAAAAAAGCGCACAGUUCCAGCCUCCGGGAGCAGAAAAGAAAUGGAAAAGGCGAACGGCCGGGAUGGUAAUAAAGUAGUUGCAACCUGGACUGGGCAAUCUCCCCUGCCAUUCUGCUGUUGCGUUCGCGCUGCGAUUCCUCCCAUGUGCCCCAAACAAUUCCGUUUGCUGGAGCAGCACGAAAUGCCAAGCCCAUAGAUCUGGCGACCAGCACCACGUACCACCAGUACCACGCUUACUUGCAAGGCAUGUAAAAUCGGUCUGGCCACUGAGUGAGUUCGCCAUUAAAAUCUCAGCUGACGUCCAUUGACCUACCAACAUAAAUGUAUCGGGUUUGCAGCUCGAUCGCGAUCGCGAUCACGACGACGACGACGACGAGAAGCGAGCUCCGGCUGAGAUCUUGUUGCCCGUGAACGAAAUCCGAGCGGAGGCUUCGGAAAGUCCAAAGGCGCGCAAAGCAAGCAAGCGUUGGCUCAGUUCUCGUGGGACGAAAGGAAAAGGGAAAGCGGAGGGAGGCGCGCGCGCGAGGAAACGUGGUUUCCAUGAAGUGCCAGCGAUUGUAAUCGUUCUACCGACCAGCGGAGCGAGCUCGAAUAAACUAAUGGCGAUCGCUUUCCAAAUCAUCGUCUAGUUAGUGGUACUAAGUUGUAUCGUUCUCCCCGGCCACUACCGCCGCGCUGUGAUGUGCCCGUGCCCGCGCCUAUCUAUUUGUCCAUUAUCGUAUCGUAUCCAUUUCUUAAUUCCUCUCCUCCCCCCGACUUAACUAAUCAUCGCCGGCAGGGCCUGCCAUUGAUCUGCUACUUGAGGAAUGCGUUGCGGUUGUGGAUGCUACUUGUAGUACCACAAGGAGGGGAUAGGGGCUCUGUGGCUCUCUCUGCUUUCUGAGGUCGUGCCGAGAUGAAGGUCCCUCUCCCUGUCAGGAGCAAGAGCUUCAAGAAGAGCAGGGGAGCCUCAUGCAGCCUCCCCCUCCUGCUGCUCAUCGGGGCCGUCCAGUUCUUGGUGAUUGGCAAGCCUUUUCCGUCGCUCUUGAUGGAUAGCAGCAGGAGGAGAGCCUUCUUCAAUCUCGCAGAGGAGGAGUUCAUCCCGGAGCCUCAGGUGAGCUGCGACUUCAAUGACACGAGAUCCGACUACUGCGAGAUGGCCGGCGCCAUCCGCGUCCGCGGGAGCACGUCGGAGGUGUUCGUCAUGACCCCUCGCCGCGGCACCACCGCCGGGGACGUCGUCGGCCACAACGCGACGUGGAUCGCCCCCAACGCCACGAGCUGGAAGAUGCAGCCGUACACGCGCAAGGGGGAGGCCCGCAUCAUGAACGGCAUCACGGCGGUGACGGUGCGGCUGGCGGACGCCGACGAGGCCCCCGCGUGCGAGGUGAUGCACGACGUGCCGGCCGUGGUGUACUCCAACGGCGGCUACUGCGGCAACUACUACCACGACUUCAACGACAACAUCAUCCCGCUCUUCAUCACCACGCGCCACCUGGGCGGCGAGGUGCAGCUGCUGGUGAAGCAGAAGCAGGCGUGGUGGUUCCGCAAGUACGGCGAGAUCGUGGACGGGCUGACGCGGCACGAGGCGCUGGAUCUCGACGGCGACGCGCGCGUGCACUGCUACCGGCGGGCCUUCGUGGGGCUGCGCAGCCACAAGGACCUGAGCAUCGACCCGCGCCGCGCGCCCAACAACGUGUCCAUGGUGGACUUCAAGCGCUUCCUCAUGUGGCGCUACGCGCUGCCGCGGGAGCACGCGAUCCGGACAGACGACGAGGUGGUCGGCGGGCGGAGGCCGCGGCUGCUGAUCAUCACGCGGCGGUCGCGGCGGCGGUUCAUGAACCUGGAGGAGAUCGUGGCCGCGGCGGAGGAGCUCGGCUUCGAGGUGACGGCGUCGGACCUGAUGUCGCCGCCCAAGAAGCAGGGCGGCGAGGCGGCGGCGGCCGUGGUGGGCGACGGCGGGCAGGCGCGGAUGGCGGACGCGUCGGCGACGGCGAACGCGUUCGACGUGAUGCUGGCGGUGCACGGGUCCGGGCUGACGAACCUGCUGUUCCUGCCGAUGAACGCGGUGGUGGUCCAGGUGGUGCCGCUGGGGCGGAUGGAGGGCCUGGCCAUGGACGAGUACGGCGUGCCGCCGCGGGACAUGAACAUGCGCUACAUCCAGUACAACAUCACGGCGGAGGAGAGCACGCUGUCGGAGCUCUACCCGCGCGGCCACCCGGUGUUCCUCGACCCCGGCCCCAUCCACAAGCAGAGCUGGUCGCUCGUCAAGGACAUCUACCUCGGCAAGCAGGACGUGCGCCUCGACAUGGCCCGCUUCCGGCCCGUGCUCCAGAAGGCGCUCGACCUCCUCCGGUGACACGCGCACUGACACGUCACACGCCGGCGCCGGCGCCGGCGACGACGACACAUACAUACACAUCAUGUUAAUCAGACCAACUUUUUCUCCCCUUCUUCUUCUCGUUCUUUGUCGACAUGAAAUCAAAGGUGUACACAAAUUGAUUCUAGUUUUUUGGCCGGUGCAUGGACGACAGGGUGGCGACGUUUUUGUUGUAUGAUGAUUGAUUGUAGUCGAGUCGUUUUCCCGGAGCCGUGACGGGCGUACGUGUCUGGCAAGGCAGCUAAGCGCCAACAACAAGAGGAAGAAAACAACGUCAUGUGAGGCAUC